UUUGUACCCGUUCCGGCUCAAUCCGGCCUCAUCAUGCUUUUUGUCAGGCCGAUCCUGAGGUUGCGAACUAGAGGCACGACCAGGAUAGAGGCGAAUUCAGGAACAUGCCGAUGGGCCUCCGGGUGCGCUUUCAUUAAAUGACUGGAGGACGUCGGGAGGAAGGGAACCGAGGAGGAGGAUAAAACGCGGUGCCUAGAAAUGCUGGAGUCGGAGUGGAGCCAGAAAUGAACGCCUUGCUGAGACGCUGUCGUCUGUGUUGUCCCGCAGCUCUCUGAUGGGAGAUAGCGAGGCUGGUCGUAGGGGUGCGACUGCAGAGAAGCGUGGGUGAGGGGUCUGAUGGAUGCGCCGAUUUUGAGUCAAGAGCCUUUUUCUGGAACGCACUUCCCCCCGCUCACAAAAAUGAUUACGGAGUUCUAGGCCCAACGAGGUUGCGUCUUUCUCCCUUUCACUCUGCCCGUAUUCCAGCCCAGAGAAUCCCUGUCAAGGAAUUUUACCCUCAAAGAUGUCAAGGAAAGAUACAUGGGUCUUGGAAGAUAAUUACUCAAAACAUGAAGGGAAGGAAUAAAAUUGAAGAAUGUUUUUCCUAGAGAACAUCAUUUGACAGAUUUAUUUGAUCAAGAAUAUGAACAUUAGGCUUGGUGAGGU
This is a long non-coding RNA of Carlito syrichta (Philippine tarsier), 645 nucleotides long. RefSeq lists it as uncharacterized. The record is from RefSeq and is a predicted model, not a curated record. The transcript is spliced from 4 exons. Lineage: Eukaryota; Metazoa; Chordata; Mammalia; Primates; Tarsiidae.